Molecule: ribosomal RNA, 406 nt
Filed under: uncultured bacterium
Lineage: Bacteria
Description: partial 16S ribosomal RNA
Rfam family: Bacterial small subunit ribosomal RNA
Source: RNAcentral
AUUGAACGCUGGCGGCAGGCCUAACACAUGCAAGUCGAACGAGUGGCGGACGGGUGAGUAAUGUCUGGGAAACUGCCUGAUGGAGGGGGAUAACUACUGGAAACGGUAACUAAUACCACAUACCAUCAGAUGUGCCCAGAUGGGAUUAGCUUGUUGGUGGGGUAACGGCUCACCAAGGCGACGAUCCCUAGCUGGUCGGAGAGGAUGACCAGCUACACUUGAACUGAGACACGGUCCGGACUCCUACGGGAGGCAGGAGAGGGGAAUAUUGCAAAGGGGGCGCAAGCCUGAUGUAGACAUGCCGCGUGUCUGAAGAAGGCCUGCGGGUUGUAAAGUACUUUCAGAGGGGAGGCGUUACUCGCAGAAGAAGCACCGGCUAACUCCGUGCCAGCAGCCGCGGUAAUAC